CACGAAACUAUGUGAGCUAAUUUUUUUUCCAAGUUGCUAUGUAGCAUAAUAGUGAGAUGAAGAAAAAUUAGGGGUGAUAGGCCUUACAAACAUAGUGAUAUCUUGAUUUCUCUUAAAUGUAAUAGUACACUGACACAUUUAAAGCUAUAAGGUUUUAAAUUAUAAUUAAAUACAAUUUACGUUAAGUAAGAUAUAAAAGUCUAUACAUAUAUCAAUAUACAAUACAUGUUGUAAGUUUAUAGUUUCUCAGGGAAUAUACAAUAACUUUUAAUGUAUUAAUAAUGUUACUAUUAGUAUUUAGUAGGUGUUAAUAGUGAACUCGGCAUUAAGUUUUCAACUGUUUAUCAAAAACAUAGCUACGUGUAAAUAUACGUAGUAUUUUCUGCUCAAUGAAGUUUAAAUAGCCGCAGUACCUUGACUGUGCAAAGGUAGCGCAAUCAUUUGUCUUUUAAUUGGAGUCGUGUAUGAACGAAUAUAUGGGGACUUUCUUUACCAUUAACAAUUUUAAAAAUUACUUAACGAGUGCAAAAUCUCGUAGUUAAACAAUAGACGAGAAGACCCUAGAAAUUUAUGUAAAUAUUUUGUUGGGGCAACAUAGUAACAGUGAACUUACUAUAUGUAUAUGAAAUUGAUUAGGUAAAGUAAAUUACUCUAGGGAUAACAGCAUAAUAUUUAAAUGUUUGUGACCUCGAUGUUGGAUUAGGGUGUUAUAGUUUAGAA
RNAcentral lists this ribosomal RNA (720 nucleotides) under Setobaudinia colmani. RNAcentral's name for it is "partial 16S ribosomal RNA". The stretch from base 322 to 486 matches the Rfam family "Archaeal large subunit ribosomal RNA", at positions 1876 to 2091 of the family's 2987-position model. The record is from RNAcentral. Lineage: Eukaryota; Metazoa; Mollusca; Gastropoda; Stylommatophora; Camaenidae.